This 1346-nucleotide ribosomal RNA is filed under the name uncultured bacterium. RNAcentral's name for it is "partial 16S ribosomal RNA". It matches the Rfam family "Bacterial small subunit ribosomal RNA", at positions 28 to 1381 of the family's 1533-position model. The record is from RNAcentral.
GACGAACGCUUGCGGCGUGCUUAACACAUGCAAGUCGAACGGAAAGGCCCUGCUUUUGUGGGGUGCUCGAGUGGCGAACGGGUGAGUAACACGUGAGUAACCUGCCCUUGACUUUGGGAUAACUUCAGGAAACUGGGGCUAAUACCGGAUAGGAGCUCCUGCUGCAUGGUGGGGGUUGGAAAGUUUCGGCGGUUGGGGAUGGACUCGCGGCUUAUCAGCUUGUUGGUGGGGUAGUGGCUUACCAAGGCUUUGACGGGUAGCCGGCCUGAGAGGGUGACCGGCCACAUUGGGACUGAGAUACGGCCCAGACUCCUACGGGAGGCAGCAGUGGGGAAUAUUGCACAAUGGGCGGAAGCCUGAUGCAGCAACGCCGCGUGCGGGGUGACGGCCUUCGGGUUGUAAACCGCUUUCGCCUGUGACGAAGCGUGAGUGACGGUAAUGGGUAAAGAAGCACCGGCUAACUACGUGCCAGCAGCCGCGGUGAUACGUAGGGUGCGAGCGUUGUCCGGAUUUAUUGGGCGUAAAGGGCUCGUAGGUGGUUGAUCGCGUCGGAAGUGUAAUCUUGGGGCUUAACCCUGAGCGUGCUUUCGAUACGGGUUGACUUGAGGAAGGUAGGGGAGAAUGGAAUUCCUGGUGGAGCGGUGGAAUGCGCAGAUAUCAGGAGGAACACCAGUGGCGAAGGCGGUUCUCUGGGCCUUUCCUGACGCUGAGGAGCGAAAGCGUGGGGAGCGAACAGGCUUAGAUACCCUGGUAGUCCACGCUGUAAACGGUGGGUACUAGGUGUGGGGUCCAUUCCACGGGUUCCGUGCCGUAGCUAACGCUUUAAGUACCCCGCCUGGGGAGUACGGCCGCAAGGCUAAAACUCAAAGGAAUUGACGGGGCCCCGCACAAGCGGCGGAGCAUGCGGAUUAAUUCGAUGCAACGCGUAGAACCUUACCUGGGUUUGACAUGGAUCGGGAGUGCUCAGAGAUGGGUGUGCCUCUUUUGGGGUCGGUUCACAGGUGGUGCAUGGCUGUCGUCAGCUCGUGUCGUGAGAUGUUGGGUUAAGUCCCGCAACGAGCGCAACCCUUGUUCACUGUUGCCAGCACGUUAUGGUGGGGACUCAGUGGAGACCGCCGGGGUCAACUCGGAGGAAGGUGGGGAUGACGUCAAGUCAUCAUGCCCCUUAUGUCCAGGGCUUCACGCAUGCUACAAUGGCUGGUACAGAGAGUGGCGAGCCUGUGAGGGUGAGCGAAUCUCGGAAAGCCGGUCUCAGUUCGGAUUGGGGUCUGCAACUCGACCUCAUGAAGUCGGAGUCGCUAGUAAUCGCAGAUCAGCAACGCUGCGGUGAAUACGUUCCCGGGGCU